UCCGGUUUGGCACCGGCGGUCUCCCUAGAGUCCCCGGCAUGACCCGCUGGCAACUAGGAACAGGGGUUGCGCUCGUUGCGCCACUUAACCCAACAUCUCACGACACGAGCUGACGACAGCCAUGCAGCACCUGUGCAGGCUCCCGAAGGAGCGCCGGCUUUCACCGGCUUCACCCUGCAUGUCAAGCCCAGGUAAGGUUCUUCGCGUUGCGUCGAAUUGAGCCACAUGCUCCGCCGCUUGUGCGGGCCCCCGUCAAUUCCUUUGAGUUUCAUUCUUGCGAACGUACUCCCCAGGUGGGUUACUUAUCACUUUCGCUUAGCCACUCAACCUUGCGGCCGAACAGCUAGUAACCAUCGUUUACGGCGUGGACUAC
Molecule: unclassified non-coding RNA, 373 nt
Filed under: uncultured bacterium
Lineage: Bacteria
Description: contains 16S-23S intergenic spacer region
Source: RNAcentral